This 510-nucleotide ribosomal RNA is filed under the name uncultured bacterium. RNAcentral's name for it is "partial 16S ribosomal RNA". It matches the Rfam family "Bacterial small subunit ribosomal RNA", at positions 28 to 507 of the family's 1533-position model. The record is from RNAcentral.
GACGAACGCUGGCGGCGUGCUUAACACAUGCAAGUCGAACGAAGAGCGACGGAAGCUUGCUUCUAUCAAUCUUAGUGGCGAACGGGUGAGUAACGCGUAAUCAACCUGCCCUUCAGAGGGGGACAACAGUUGGAAACGACUGCUAAUACCGCAUACGAUCUAACCUCGGCAUCGAGGAUAGAUGAAAGGUGGCCUCUACAUGUAAGCUAUCACUGAAGGAGGGGAUUGCGUCUGAUUAGCUAGUUGGAGGGGUAACGGCCCACCAAGGCGAUGAUCAGUAGCCGGUCUGAGAGGAUGAACGGCCACAUUGGGACUGAGACACGGCCCAGACUCCUACGGGAGGCAGCAGUGGGGAAUCUUCCGCAAUGGACGAAAGUCUGACGGAGCAACGCCGCGUGAGGGAUGACGGCCUUCGGGUUGUAAAGCUCUGUUAAUCGGGACGAAAGGCCUUCUUGCGAAUAGUGAGAAGGAUUGACGGUACCGGAAUAGAAAGCCACGGCUAACUACGUG